This 1347-nucleotide ribosomal RNA is filed under the name uncultured bacterium. RNAcentral describes it as "bacterial SSU rRNA". It matches the Rfam family "Bacterial small subunit ribosomal RNA", at positions 28 to 1381 of the family's 1533-position model. The record is from RNAcentral.
GACGAACGCUGGCGGCGUGCUUAACACAUGCAAGUCGAACGCUGAAGCCCAGCUUGCUGGGUGGAUGAGUGGCGAACGGGUGAGUAACACGUGAGUAACCUGCCCCCUUCUUUGGGAUAACGCCCGGAAACGGGUGCUAAUACUGGAUAUUCACUGAUCUUCGCAUGGGGGUUGGUGGAAAGGUUUUUUCUGGUGGGGGAUGGGCUCGCGGCCUAUCAGCUUGUUGGUGGGGUAGUGGCUUACCAAGGCUUUGACGGGUAGCCGGCCUGAGAGGGUGACCGGCCACAUUGGGACUGAGAUACGGCCCAGACUCCUACGGGAGGCAGCAGUGGGGAAUAUUGCACAAUGGGCGGAAGCCUGAUGCAGCAACGCCGCGUGCGGGAUGACGGCCUUCGGGUUGUAAACCGCUUUCGCCUGUGACGAAGCGUGAGUGACGGUAAUGGGUAAAGAAGCACCGGCUAACUACGUGCCAGCAGCCGCGGUGAUACGUAGGGUGCGAGCGUUGUCCGGAUUUAUUGGGCGUAAAGGGCUCGUAGGUGGUUGAUCGCGUCGGAAGUGUAAUCUUGGGGCUUAACCCUGAGCGUGCUUUCGAUACGGGUUGACUUGAGGAAGGUAGGGGAGAAUGGAAUUCCUGGUGGAGCGGUGGAAUGCGCAGAUAUCAGGAGGAACACCAGUGGCGAAGGCGGUUCUCUGGGCCUUUCCUGACGCUGAGGAGCGAAAGCGUGGGGAGCGAACAGGCUUAGAUACCCUGGUAGUCCACGCUGUAAACGGUGGGUACUAGGUGUGGGGUCCAUUCCACGGGUUCCGUGCCGUAGCUAACGCUUUAAGUACCCCGCCUGGGGAGUACGGCCGCAAGGCUAAAACUCAAAGGAAUUGACGGGGCCCCGCACAAGCGGCGGAGCAUGCGGAUUAAUUCGAUGCAACGCGUAGAACCUUACCUGGGUUUGACAUGGAUCGGGAGUGCUCAGAGAUGGGUGUGCCUCUUUUGGGGUCGGUUCACAGGUGGUGCGUGGCUGUCGUCAGCUCGUGUCGUGAGAUGUUGGGUUAAGUCCCGCAACGAGCGCAACCCUUGUUCACUGUUGCCAGCACGUUAUGGUGGGGACUCAGUGGAGACCGCCGGGGUCAACUCGGAGGAAGGUGGGGAUGACGUCAAGUCAUCAUGCCCCUUAUGUCCAGGGCUUCACGCAUGCUACAAUGGCUGGUACAGAGAGCGGCGAGCCUGUGAGGGUGAGCGAAUCUCGGAAAGCCGGUCUCAGUUCGGAUUGGGGUCUGCAACUCGACCUCAUGAAGUCGGAGUCGCUAGUAAUCGCAGAUCAGCAACGCUGCGGUGAAUACGUUCCCGGGGCU